GAAGUGGUGGCUCACUGGUAGAAUUCUCACCUUUCAUGUGGGAGACUUGGGUUCGAUUCCCGGCCAAUGCA
This 71-nucleotide transfer RNA is filed under the name Loxodonta africana (African savanna elephant). It matches the Rfam family "tRNA". From Rfam's summary of the family: Transfer RNA (tRNA) molecules are approximately 80 nucleotides in length. Their secondary structure includes four short double-helical elements and three loops (D, anti-codon, and T loops). The record is from Rfam by way of RNAcentral. Lineage: Eukaryota; Metazoa; Chordata; Mammalia; Proboscidea; Elephantidae.